This 253-nucleotide ribosomal RNA is filed under the name uncultured bacterium. RNAcentral describes it as "partial 16S ribosomal RNA". It matches the Rfam family "Bacterial small subunit ribosomal RNA", at positions 524 to 776 of the family's 1533-position model. The record is from RNAcentral.
UACGGAGGAUGCGAGCGUUAUCCGGAUUUAUUGGGUUUAAAGGGUGCGUAGGCGGUUUCUUAAGUCAGUGGUGAAAUCUAGUUGCUUAACAACUAAAUUGCCAUCGAAACUGGGGGACUUGAGUACAGACGAGGUAGGCGGAAUGUGUAGUGUAGCGGUGAAAUGCUUAGAUAUUACACAGAACACCGAUAGCGAAGGCAGCUUACUGGUAUGUAACUGACGCUGAGGCACGAAAGCGUGGGGAUCGAACAGG